ACGCCGAGAUCCCACACACAUAUUCCCACAGGCUGCGGAUUCACCAAAGCCUUAAGGCCGGAAUGUCAUUACCUCUCGCUUUUAAUUAAAGCUUUCUGCCUUCGUUUUAGCUUCCUGUCUCCGACAUCAUGCCCAGUUCAUCAGAGCAGCAUCAGUCGGCGUAGAUGAGGAAGCCGGAGAACGUGCUGUACUUGUUGGUGUUUCCUCCGUGGACUUUGCCUCCGUCCAGCUGCACACAGACCUCGUCUCCCACGUCUAAAUGCAGGAUCACACUGUUGGAGGCGUAGUCGUAAUUCUGGUCAGCGUCCUGGGCGAUAGCGCUGGCCCUCACCUGUCACACACACACACAGGACAAAUGAAGACACGGUAAGAGGAAGGACAAACAGAAGAUUGCCACCAUAUUCCAGUAAUCUAAAAUUCUUUGAUCAAUGGGUUAUUGAGUUAAUCCCCAUGAAUAUACCCUAACCCGGGGUGAUGCGGGGGCGCAGUGGAUAGCUGGUCCGAGCCUCGGCUGGACAUAACCAACGGAUGCAAACUAACAGAGCAUUCGACAGUGACAAUCCCACCACACUCCUGGGACACUUUAGCCUCAUAUGUCUGAGGUCCGACAACAAGCCGACCAUCACAACUUUAUCAGCCGCUACCAAGAGACCAGCUUUCACUAGCUGUCAAAAGCAGCACGCAGACAAUGAUCAGCCAGAUGGUCACAG
This is a non-coding RNA of Danio rerio (zebrafish), 710 nucleotides long. The record is from Ensembl. NCBI's taxonomy places the organism in Eukaryota, Metazoa, Chordata, Actinopteri, Cypriniformes, Danionidae.